Molecule: ribosomal RNA, 773 nt
Filed under: uncultured Neocallimastigales
Lineage: Eukaryota; Fungi; Neocallimastigomycota; Neocallimastigomycetes; Neocallimastigales
Description: partial large subunit ribosomal RNA
Rfam family: Eukaryotic large subunit ribosomal RNA
Source: RNAcentral
AGAGAGAGACAUGCGCGCAUAUCAAUAAGCGGAGGAAAAGAAACUAACAAGGAUUCCCCUAGUAACGGCGAGUGAAGCGGGAAGAGCUUAAAUUUGAAAUCUUAAAGGGUUUCCCUUUACGAAUUGUAGUUUAAAGAAGUGUUUUCUGUUGAGGUUUUGGUAAAAGUUCUUUGGAAUAGGACAUCAUAGAGGGUGAGAAUCCCGUAUUUGACCUUUACUUUCAACUUGUGAUACACUUUCAAAGAGUCGGAUUGUUUGGGAAUGCAGUCCAAAAUGGGUGGUACAUUUCAUCUAAAGCUAAAUAUUGGCGAGAGACCGAUAGCGAACAAGUACCGUGAGGGAAAGAUGAAAAGAACUUUGAAAAGAGAGUUAAACAGUACGUGAAAUUGUCAAAAGGGAAGCGUUUGACACCAGUGUUGUUUUUCUGAAAAUCAAUUAAAGAACUGUUUAUGCUAAGUUGUUUAGACUUUAUCAGCUAACUGUUUAGUUUUGAGCUUUUCUUUAAUGCACUUUUCAGUUAACAAGUCAACAUCAAUUUCUUUUGCUGUAAAAAAGCUUGAGGAAGGUGGCUUGAGAUUCGUCUUAAGUGUUUAUAGCCUCUUGCCUAUGCAGUCGGAGAGAUUGAGGUCUGCAGCGUAGAUCCUUCGGGGCUAAAUGCAUUUGUGCUAAGUUAUAGCAUUUUAUAGACAACUUGUUGACUAUGAUUUGUCUUGUAGCUUACUCGCUUAUGUUAUUUUACCUACGCUUAGGAUGUUGAGCGCAUGUCUCUCUCU